GGUGGUAUGGUCUAGUGGUAUGACGUCGCGUUGUGGCUGGCGAACACCUAGUGUUCCGAUCCAGAUCCGCGCCAGCCCGUGUUCGAUUCACGGUACCGCCA
Molecule: transfer RNA, 101 nt
Filed under: Curvularia kusanoi
Lineage: Eukaryota; Fungi; Ascomycota; Dothideomycetes; Pleosporales; Pleosporaceae
Description: Cochliobolus kusanoi tRNA
Rfam family: tRNA
About the family: Transfer RNA (tRNA) molecules are approximately 80 nucleotides in length. Their secondary structure includes four short double-helical elements and three loops (D, anti-codon, and T loops).
Source: Rfam by way of RNAcentral